Molecule: transfer RNA, 84 nt
Filed under: Bacteriophage sp.
Description: tRNA-Ala
Rfam family: tRNA
About the family: Transfer RNA (tRNA) molecules are approximately 80 nucleotides in length. Their secondary structure includes four short double-helical elements and three loops (D, anti-codon, and T loops).
Source: RNAcentral
GCUGAGUAGUUUAAUAGGAUAAAACACCUGAUUAGCCUUUGGUGAUUAUCAGGAAAAUCGAGGUUCGAUUCCUCGGCUUCAGCG